Molecule: transfer RNA, 72 nt
Filed under: Heterocephalus glaber (naked mole-rat)
Lineage: Eukaryota; Metazoa; Chordata; Mammalia; Rodentia; Bathyergidae
Rfam family: tRNA
About the family: Transfer RNA (tRNA) molecules are approximately 80 nucleotides in length. Their secondary structure includes four short double-helical elements and three loops (D, anti-codon, and T loops).
Source: Rfam by way of RNAcentral
UGAGGUGUGGCUCAGUGGUACAGCACUUGUCUAGCACAUGUGAGGCCCUGAGUUUGAUCCCUACCACCUCAA